This 373-nucleotide small RNA is filed under the name uncultured Enterovibrio sp. RNAcentral describes it as "cspA thermoregulator". It matches the Rfam family "cspA thermoregulator", at positions 85 to 424 of the family's 428-position model. Lineage: Bacteria; Pseudomonadati; Pseudomonadota; Gammaproteobacteria; Vibrionales; Vibrionaceae. The record is from RNAcentral.
UUCCCUUAGAUUUUCGUAACAUUCAAUAAUUCAAAUUCAAGCUUUCAGUGCAUCGCAUUUAGCGAAAAAAUCAAAGAAUUUAAUUUAUAUAAGGGACACAUUAUGUCUAAUAAAACAACGGGUCUGGUAAAAUGGUUUAACGAAGAGAAAGGUUUUGGUUUUAUUACCCAAGACAACGGCGGUGCAGACGUAUUCGUUCACUUCCGUGCUAUCGCUUCUGACGGUUUCAAAACCCUGGCUGAAGGCCAAAAAGUUUCUUUCGACGUUGAACAAGGCCAGAAAGGUCCGCAAGCGGCGAAUGUCGUUGCACUUUAAUGUCGAAUUGUCUGGAAUUUUCCGGAUAUAAAAAGCGCGCCCAUUGAGGCGCGUUUUU